AUGCUCUACAGGGUUUAUAGAAUGCUCUACAGGGUUUAUAGAAUGCUCUACAGGGUGAACAGAAUGCUCUACAGGGUGAACAGAAUGCUCUACAGGGUGUAUAGAAUGCUCUACAGGGUGUACAGAAUGCUCUACAAGGUGUACAGAAUGCUCUACAAGGUGUACAGAAUGCUCUACAGGAUUCAUAGAAUGCUCUACAAGGUGUACAGAAUGCUCUACAGGGUUUAUAGAAUGCUCUACAAGGUGUACAGAAUGCUCUACAGGGUUUAUAGAAUGCUCUACAGGAUUUCUAGAAUGCUCUACAAGGUGU
Long non-coding RNA from Oncorhynchus tshawytscha (Chinook salmon), 310 nucleotides. The record is from Ensembl. NCBI's taxonomy places the organism in Eukaryota, Metazoa, Chordata, Actinopteri, Salmoniformes, Salmonidae.